UACGUAGGGUGCAAGCGUUAAUCGGAAUUACUGGGCGUAAAGCGUGCGUAGGCGGCGCUGUAAGACAGAUGUGAAAUCCCCGGGCUUAACCUGGGAACUGCAUUUGUGACUGCAGUGCUAGAGUGUGUCAGAGGGGGGUGGAAUUCCACGUGUAGCAGUGAAAUGCGUAGAGAUGUGGAGGAACACCGAUGGCGAAGGCAGCCCCCUGGGAUAACACUGACGCUCAGGCACGAAAGCGUGGGGAGCAAACAGGAUUA
This 257-nucleotide ribosomal RNA is filed under the name uncultured prokaryote. RNAcentral describes it as "partial 16S ribosomal RNA". It matches the Rfam family "Bacterial small subunit ribosomal RNA", at positions 524 to 780 of the family's 1533-position model. The record is from RNAcentral.